RNAcentral lists this non-coding RNA (21 nucleotides) under Caenorhabditis elegans. Lineage: Eukaryota; Metazoa; Nematoda; Chromadorea; Rhabditida; Rhabditidae. The record is from RNAcentral.
UUUCUUUUAUGAAAUCGGGUU